RNAcentral lists this ribosomal RNA (252 nucleotides) under uncultured bacterium. RNAcentral describes it as "partial 16S ribosomal RNA". It matches the Rfam family "Bacterial small subunit ribosomal RNA", at positions 524 to 770 of the family's 1533-position model. The record is from RNAcentral.
GACGUAGGGCGCGAGCGUUGUCCGGAUUUAUUGGGCGUAAAGAGCUCGUAGGCGGCUUGUUGCGUCAGCUGUGAAAAACCCGCAGCUCAACUGUGGGCUUGCAGCUGAUACGGGCAGGCUUGAGUUCGGUAGGGGAGACUGGAAUUCCUGGUGUAGCGGUGAAAUGCGCAGAUAUCAGGGAGGAACACCGGUGGCGAAGGCGGGUCUCUGGACAGUUCCUGACACUGAGAGCACGAAGGACCAGGGGGAGCA